GAUGAACGCUGGCGGCGUGCCUAAUACAUGCAAGUCGAGCGAACGGACGAGAAGCUUGCUUCUCUGAUGUUAGCGGCGGACGGGUGAGUAACACGUGGAUAACCUACCUAUAAGACUUGGAUAACUUCGGGAAACCGGAGCUAAUACCGGAUAAUAUUUUGAACCGCAUGGUUCAAAAGUGAAAGACGGUCUUGCUGUCACUUAUAGAUGGAUCCGCGCUGCAUUAGCUAGUUGGUACGGUAACGGCUUACCAAGGCAACGAUGCAUAGCCGACCUGAGAGGGGGAUCGGCCACACUGGAACUGAGACACGGUCCAAACUCCUACGGGAGGCAGCAGUAGGGAAUCUUCCGCAAUGGGCGAAAGCCUGACGGAGCAACGCCGCGUGAGUGAUGAAGGUCUUCGGAUCGUAAAACUCUGUUAUUAGGGAAGAACAUAUGUGUAAGUAACUGUGCACAUCUUGACGGUACCUAAGCAGAAAGCCACGGCUAACUACGU
RNAcentral lists this ribosomal RNA (496 nucleotides) under uncultured bacterium. RNAcentral describes it as "partial 16S ribosomal RNA". It matches the Rfam family "Bacterial small subunit ribosomal RNA", at positions 28 to 506 of the family's 1533-position model. The record is from RNAcentral.